AACGAGUUCUCGUUGAUGAUCGGUGCUUGCACCGAGAUUCAACAUGGAACGAGUGGCGGACGGGUGAGUAACACGUGGGUAACCUGCCCUUAAGUGGGGGAUAACAUUUGGAAACAGAUGCUAAUACCGCAUAGAUCCAAGAACCGCAUGGUUCUUGGCUGAAAGAUGGCGUAAGCUAUCGCUUUUGGAUGGACCCGCGGCGUAUUAGCUAGUUGGUGAGGUAAUGGCUCACCAAGGCGAUGAUACGUAGCCGAACUGAGAGGUUGAUCGGCCACAUUGGGACUGAGACACGGCCCAAACUCCUACGGGAGGCAGCAGUAGGGAAUCUUCCACAAUGGACGCAAGUCUGAUGGAGCAACGCCGCGUGAGUGAAGAAGGCUUUCGGGUCGUAAAACUCUGUUGUUGGAGAAGAAUGGUCGGCAGAGUAACUGUUGUCGGCGUGACGGUAUCCAACCAGAAAGCCACGGCUAACUACGUGCCAGCAGCCGCGGUAAUACGUAGGUGGCAAGCGUUAUCCGGAUUUAUUGGGCGUAAAGCGAGCGCAGGCGGUUUUUUAAGUCUGAUGUGAAAGCCCUCGGCUUAACCGAGGAA
This 591-nucleotide ribosomal RNA is filed under the name Lactobacillus casei group sp. Its description in RNAcentral is "bacterial SSU rRNA". It matches the Rfam family "Bacterial small subunit ribosomal RNA", at positions 65 to 620 of the family's 1533-position model. The record is from RNAcentral. Lineage: Bacteria; Bacillati; Bacillota; Bacilli; Lactobacillales; Lactobacillaceae.